AACUAAAUUUAAUCAGUACGUGCACUAAAAGUAAACAAGUUGCAUCCAUCUAGCCAGUUACUAAAGAGAAAAAAUGAAGCUAUAUCAAGCAUUUGCUGUCUUCAUUGUACUGAUAGGUACAGGUAGUAGUACAGAUGUGUGCAGCAAUUUUCUUGAGUUCAGAAGAUGUGAGCAGAUUAUCGAUAUGUUUGAAGAAGCCUUAAUCAAGGAAGAAUCAAACAUAUUUGCCCUCAAUGAUAUUUUUUUCCCAAGCAACCGACAUCCGGCUUCCAACUUCAUGGUUGGAUAUUUAAUUAUCAGACCUGGACAAGAUGAGAAUUCAACCCUAAAAUUACAUAUCAGAAGCUGGUGCACAAGCACUUCAUACACAAUAGCAAGCCCUCUUAUGCUUCAAACACUCUUUACAGGACUAACCUAUAUCUGUCAUAUGUCAGUAAGUCGUCAGCUUAUAAUGCCAAGCAACCUAUUCCUAAACAUAACUGAUCACAACUUCAGUGAAAAGGAAAUUGAUUAUACACUUGACUAUGCACUUGACUAUAUCACACCUUGGCUUAAACUUUAUACAAGGAAAGAAGCACAGUCAGGUGAAAUAUCUUACAAGGAUGAAGAUAAAGGAUAUAUGUGUGAUACUGUCUCUUUUAGCUGGGUUUUAAUGGUGUUUACGGUGAUUGUGACUAUCACAGCAAUUUGCAUAUUGUGCAAGGUGUUGUAUUUUUUGCUGAACACUAAAUCUAAACAAGCUGAUGUAAACAGGGCAGUUUUUUUCUCUAUGGGAUUUGUAGUUUUCUCUGUCAACAUUUUGGAUAUCAUUGUCCUUGCGCAUGAAGCGCACAUUUACAUCAUUCAGGAAGUAAAAAUUGAUGAGAAAUAUAGGCCAAUGUUCCAAAAUCCAGCAGAAGAUUUGACCUUUCCUUUGGGUCAUAGGAUAGUAAAAGUAUCGCAAGUAGUUGUUGGGAUUUUUGUGUUUGGUAUAGGAGGGUUCAUUGGAUGUUGUUGCUCAACUUCCCUUCCAAAAGCACUAAACUUUUGUCAUUGCUUUUGUACCUCCAAUUGUGCUUAUUUCCUAUGUUUUGCUAACCUCUUCUACUUCGCAUAUAUGGUCGGUCUAAACGUACUGCCAACAUUUUUGAUGCUGUUCAUUACACCAAUCGAAACGCUAUCUGUUCUGGUAUUCUUUGUGUCACUGCUGUCCAGUGGUGUGAUGUUCAUGACCAUCAUCAUAUUCCAAAUUGAGAUCCACAAGAAAAUGAAUGGGGAAAAGAAAAAGACGAAACUAUGUGCAACAAUCGUUUCAGCUUUCAUUUACUUCUUAGUGCUAAUUUCCAUUGUUAUACUCAUGAUUGUAUUUCUAUUUAUAUUGGCUUCAGUCAAAACUAAUAAUACAUCGUAUCUUGCUCCUGUUAUACUAUCGUUUGGCUCCACAAUACUCUCGAUAUUGGGUGGCUAUGUUACUAUGCGAAUACUGUCAAAGAAAAACAACACACAGAACAGUAAUGAGUCAGAAAUGGAAUCUGGUACGGAAAUGAGUGAGAGAACGACAAAGGAAGACAGUGAUGACGGAGAAGAUACAGAGGAGAAGCCACUCUUGCAAAACGAGUCAUCCUUAUGAGACAUUUUAUGACUUUUCGUGUAUUAAAUGGACACAUUGUUACUUUAUGUACGUACGUCAUACCACCUUAAGAAUAAAACCAUUUGUACUGCCACGUCA
This is a long non-coding RNA of Halichondria panicea, 1708 nucleotides long. RefSeq lists it as uncharacterized. Lineage: Eukaryota; Metazoa; Porifera; Demospongiae; Suberitida; Halichondriidae. The record is from RefSeq and is a predicted model, not a curated record. The transcript has 2 exons.